This 2933-nucleotide ribosomal RNA is filed under the name Escherichia coli. RNAcentral describes it as "bacterial LSU rRNA". It matches the Rfam family "Bacterial large subunit ribosomal RNA". The record is from RNAcentral. Lineage: Bacteria; Pseudomonadati; Pseudomonadota; Gammaproteobacteria; Enterobacterales; Enterobacteriaceae.
GGGUUGUGAGGUUAAGCGACUAAGCGUACACGGUGGAUGCCCUGGCAGUCAGAGGCGAUGAAGGACGUGCUAAUCUGCGAUAAGCGUCGGUAAGGUGAUAUGAACCGUUAUAACCGGCGAUUUCCGAAUGGGGAAACCCAGUGUGUUUCGACACACUAUCAUUAACUGAAUCCAUAGGUUAAUGAGGCGAACCGGGGGAACUGAAACAUCUAAGUACCCCGAGGAAAAGAAAUCAACCGAGAUUCCCCCAGUAGCGGCGAGCGAACGGGGAGCAGCCCAGAGCCUGAAUCAGUGUGUGUGUUAGUGGAAGCGUCUGGAAAGGCGCGCGAUACAGGGUGACAGCCCCGUACACAAAAAUGCACAUGCUGUGAGCUCGAUGAGUAGGGCGGGACACGUGGUAUCCUGUCUGAAUAUGGGGGGACCAUCCUCCAAGGCUAAAUACUCCUGACUGACCGAUAGUGAACCAGUACCGUGAGGGAAAGGCGAAAAGAACCCCGGCGAGGGGAGUGAAAAAGAACCUGAAACCGUGUACGUACAAGCAGUGGGAGCACGCUUAGGCGUGUGACUGCGUACCUUUUGUAUAAUGGGUCAGCGACUUAUAUUCUGUAGCAAGGUUAACCGAAUAGGGGAGCCGAAGGGAAACCGAGUCUUAACUGGGCGUUAAGUUGCAGGGUAUAGACCCGAAACCCGGUGAUCUAGCCAUGGGCAGGUUGAAGGUUGGGUAACACUAACUGGAGGACCGAACCGACUAAUGUUGAAAAAUUAGCGGAUGACUUGUGGCUGGGGGUGAAAGGCCAAUCAAACCGGGAGAUAGCUGGUUCUCCCCGAAAGCUAUUUAGGUAGCGCCUCGUGAAUUCAUCUCCGGGGGUAGAGCACUGUUUCGGCAAGGGGGUCAUCCCGACUUACCAACCCGAUGCAAACUGCGAAUACCGGAGAAUGUUAUCACGGGAGACACACGGCGGGUGCUAACGUCCGUCGUGAAGAGGGAAACAACCCAGACCGCCAGCUAAGGUCCCAAAGUCAUGGUUAAGUGGGAAACGAUGUGGGAAGGCCCAGACAGCCAGGAUGUUGGCUUAGAAGCAGCCAUCAUUUAAAGAAAGCGUAAUAGCUCACUGGUCGAGUCGGCCUGCGCGGAAGAUGUAACGGGGCUAAACCAUGCACCGAAGCUGCGGCAGCGACGCUGAUGCGUUGUUGGGUAGGGGAGCGUUCUGUAAGCCUGUGAAGGUGUGCUGUGAGGCAUGCUGGAGGUAUCAGAAGUGCGAAUGCUGACAUAAGUAACGAUAAAGCGGGUGAAAAGCCCGCUCGCCGGAAGACCAAGGGUUCCUGUCCAACGUUAAUCGGGGCAGGGUGAGUCGACCCCUAAGGCGAGGCCGAAAGGCGUAGUCGAUGGGAAACAGGUUAAUAUUCCUGUACUUGGUGUUACUGCGAAGGGGGGACGGAGAAGGCUAUGUUGGCCGGGCGACGGUUGUCCCGGUUUAAGCGUGUAGGCUGGUUUUCCAGGCAAAUCCGGAAAAUCAAGGCUGAGGCGUGAUGACGAGGCACUACGGUGCUGAAGCAACAAAUGCCCUGCUUCCAGGAAAAGCCUCUAAGCAUCAGGUAACAUCAAAUCGUACCCCAAACCGACACAGGUGGUCAGGUAGAGAAUACCAAGGCGCUUGAGAGAACUCGGGUGAAGGAACUAGGCAAAAUGGUGCCGUAACUUCGGGAGAAGGCACGCUGAUAUGUAGGUGAAGUCCCUCGCGGAUGGAGCUGAAAUCAGUCGAAGAUACCAGCUGGCUGCAACUGUUUAUUAAAAACACAGCACUGUGCAAACACGAAAGUGGACGUAUACGGUGUGACGCCUGCCCGGUGCCGGAAGGUUAAUUGAUGGGGUUAGCCGCAAGGCGAAGCUCUUGAUCGAAGCCCCGGUAAACGGCGGCCGUAACUAUAACGGUCCUAAGGUAGCGAAAUUCCUUGUCGGGUAAGUUCCGACCUGCACGAAUGGCGUAAUGAUGGCCAGGCUGUCUCCACCCGAGACUCAGUGAAAUUGAACUCGCUGUGAAGAUGCAGUGUACCCGCGGCAAGACGGAAAGACCCCGUGAACCUUUACUAUAGCUUGACACUGAACAUUGAGCCUUGAUGUGUAGGAUAGGUGGGAGGCUUAGAAGUGUGGACGCCAGUCUGCAUGGAGCCGACCUUGAAAUACCACCCUUUAAUGUUUGAUGUUCUAACGUUGACCCGUAAUCCGGGUUGCGGACAGUGUCUGGUGGGUAGUUUGACUGGGGCGGUCUCCUCCUAAAGAGUAACGGAGGAGCACGAAGGUUGGCUAAUCCUGGUCGGACAUCAGGAGGUUAGUGCAAUGGCAUAAGCCAGCUUGACUGCGAGCGUGACGGCGCGAGCAGGUGCGAAAGCAGGUCAUAGUGAUCCGGUGGUUCUGAAUGGAAGGGCCAUCGCUCAACGGAUAAAAGGUACUCCGGGGAUAACAGGCUGAUACCGCCCAAGAGUUCAUAUCGACGGCGGUGUUUGGCACCUCGAUGUCGGCUCAUCACAUCCUGGGGCUGAAGUAGGUCCCAAGGGUAUGGCUGUUCGCCAUUUAAAGUGGUACGCGAGCUGGGUUUAGAACGUCGUGAGACAGUUCGGUCCCUAUCUGCCGUGGGCGCUGGAGAACUGAGGGGGGCUGCUCCUAGUACGAGAGGACCGGAGUGGACGCAUCACUGGUGUUCGGGUUGUCAUGCCAAUGGCACUGCCCGGUAGCUAAAUGCGGAAGAGAUAAGUGCUGAAAGCAUCUAAGCACGAAACUUGCCCCGAGAUGAGUUCUCCCUGACUCCUUGAGAGUCCUGAAGGAACGUUGAAGACGACGACGUUGAUAGGCCGGGUGUGUAAGCGCAGCGAUGCGUUGAGCUAACCGGUACUAAUGAACCGUGAGGCUUAACCUUACAACGCCGAAGGUGUUU